RNAcentral lists this unclassified non-coding RNA (326 nucleotides) under Pluteus exilis. RNAcentral describes it as "partial internal transcribed spacer region". The stretch from base 1 to 46 matches the Rfam family "Eukaryotic small subunit ribosomal RNA", at positions 1786 to 1831 of the family's 1831-position model. Lineage: Eukaryota; Fungi; Basidiomycota; Agaricomycetes; Agaricales; Pluteaceae. The record is from RNAcentral.
AAGUCGUAACAAGGUUUCCGUAGGUGAACCUGCGGAAGGAUCAUUAGUGAAUAAACAAGUGCAGGUUGUGCUGGCCUUCUUGGUAUGUGCACGCCUGCCAAAGUUUCAUUCCAUCUUCCCACCUGUGCACUCUGUGUAGAUUCUGUAUGCUGUUGUCAAGCCUUUAUUGUGCUUGGUUGAGAGGAGUUGCUUGUUUUCACAAACAAGCUCUUCUUGGGCAUGCAGGUCUAUGUUUAUAUCAACACCAUAUGAAUGUUUUAGAAUGUGUAUCAGGCUUUUGGCCUUUAAAUUAUAUACAACUUUCAACAACGGAUCUCUUGGCUCUC